GCCUGUGUGAGUGAAUGCGUUUUGUUGUGUAUUAUGGUACAAGGGGGAGUAUUUAGCGUAAGAUGCGGUAAGCAAUGGAAAUAUUUGUGAAAAUAGCAACAACAAAAUAUACAAAAAUAGCGUUUCGAUAACAAAUUCAAAUCGAUAACAAAGUGUGCUGCUAAAAAGGCAAGGCGCGCUGAAGCAAGUGAAACAAAGAGGAAGCGCAAUAGGAGCAGCGAUGUCGACGUCGGCAGCAAAAAGAAAGCCAAAGCGCCGCAAUGUCCAUCGCGCUAGAUGAUGAUAGAUGACAGUUCGUGUGCGCGCUAUCAAAAGAGGGCGGGUUGCGAGGCGGCAAAGUCGAAGUGAAGUCGGUUCGCCGUAAUCUUGACACGCGUCCGUAGGCAAAAGGCAAUAUCAAAUACAACGUAACAAUGCUAACAGUAAGGCAAAUGGCAAAGCCAGUGAAAAAAUACAAUUAGACUCUGCAAGAGCAAACAAAAACAAACGAAAUACACGAACCAAAAAAAAAAAAAAACACAAGCAACAACAAAUUCUACACUGUGGCGGCGCACGGCAACACUGGGCCAAACUGUUUAACGGCAAACGCCAGCGGCGACAGCAGCAGCAGCAAUGAGAAAGAAGAGAGAGAAAAAAUAACAUAAAAACCCAGCUGGAUUAAAUACACUUGCAGAGCGAAUCAACCAAAGCUGCUUAAUGAUUUCGUGACAAAAUUGUAUAGCCCUCGGCAAGGUAUAACAAGACGCCGGGACCUUUACAUGUGCAGCUGUUCACAGUGCUCAGUAUUUAUAGAAGUCUGUCUGCCUUCUACAAUUAGAUGACAAUCAAAUAAUCGUGCGUGCGUGCGUACCUACAUAUGUGAAUUUUGGGAUCUAUGUGGAAUGUGCACUUGCCGGUUGAAAACGGUUCUCAGCUAAAUAAAAUCCAGUUCGACAAUUAAUUCGCAAAUGUGUGUUGUGGAAAAGGUUUCAAAGUUAAAG
Long non-coding RNA from Drosophila montana, 980 nucleotides. RefSeq lists it as uncharacterized. Lineage: Eukaryota; Metazoa; Arthropoda; Insecta; Diptera; Drosophilidae. The record is from RefSeq and is a predicted model, not a curated record. The transcript is spliced from 5 exons.